RNAcentral lists this ribosomal RNA (405 nucleotides) under uncultured bacterium. RNAcentral's name for it is "partial 16S ribosomal RNA". It matches the Rfam family "Bacterial small subunit ribosomal RNA", at positions 30 to 526 of the family's 1533-position model. The record is from RNAcentral.
AUUGAACGCUGGCGGCAGGCUUAACACAUGCAAGUCGAACGAGUGGCGGACGGGUGAGUAAUGCUUGGGAAUCUAGCUUAUGGAGGGGGAUACCUCCGGGAAACUGUAGCUAUUACCGCUUGCAAUAGGAGGAGCCAAAGGGGGAUUAGUUAGUUGGUGAGGGAAAGGCUCACAAAGCCGACGAUCUCUAGCUGGUCUGAGAGGAUGACCAGCCACACUGGGACUGAGACACGGCCCAGACUCCUACGGGAGGCAGCAGUGGGGAAUAUUGCGCAAUGGGGGCAACCUGACGCAGCCAUGCCGCGUGAAUGAAGAAGGCCUUCGGGUUGUAAAGUUCUUUCGGUAGCGAGGCGUUAACUACAGAAGAAGCACCGGCUAACUCCGUGCCAGCAGCCGCGGUAAUUC